This 497-nucleotide ribosomal RNA is filed under the name uncultured bacterium. RNAcentral's name for it is "partial 16S ribosomal RNA". It matches the Rfam family "Bacterial small subunit ribosomal RNA", at positions 28 to 507 of the family's 1533-position model. The record is from RNAcentral.
GACGAACGCUGGCGGCGUGCCUAAUACAUGCAAGUAGAACGCUGAAGUGAGGAGCUUGCUCUUCUUGGAUGAGUUGCGGACGGGUGAGUAACGCGUAGGUAACCUGCCUUUUAGCGGGGGAUAACUAUUGGAAACGAUAGCUAAUACCGCAUAACAUUUGAUGACACAUGUUAUUUAUUUGAAAGGGGCAAUUGUUCCACUACAAGAUGGACCCGCGUUGUAUUAGCUAGUAGGUGAGGUAAUGGCUCACCUAAGCGACGAUACAUAACCGGCCUGAGAGGGGGGUCGGCCACACUGGGACUGGGACACGGCCCAGAACUCUAAGGGAGGGAGCAGGAGGGGAUCUUUGGGAAAGGGGGGAACGCUGAACGAGGAACGCCGGGUGAGUGAAGGAGGUUGUCGGGUCGGAAAGCUCUGUUGUAAGUCAAGAAAGGGUGUGGGAGUGAAAAGUUCACAUUGUGACGGUAGCUUACCAGAAAGGGACGGCUAACUACGUG